CACAUUACAACAGACCCAAGUGGAUCCAGGACAAAACGGGCCCAAUUGGCCCAGCUUGUUACACCAAGGCAUGAAACCCUAGGGUUUCUGCCUUUCUCCUUGCGCCGCAAACAGAAGGUUCCAGAAGCCAAGCCUCAUGACUCUUCAGCUCCUGCUGUUCCAACUACCCCGUCAAGGCCAUGAUUCCAGGCUCCAAGUCACGCCGAGAUCAACGCCACCAGUGGACCAUUGUCAGGCCUUUGCCAUUGCCUAAUUUUUCGCAAGUACCUGCAAGAAAAGGAAAGAAAAUCACAGCAGACAUGUGAAGCAAAUACGGAAAGAAAUCGAUGAUUUCUUUCCAAAACUUGUAGUAGUAGAGGCUAUAAAGCCUUCUUUUUAAUCUGUAAAAACACACGGCGGGAGAGAGACCCAAUAGCAGAAAUACACCCACACAAAAGCAGAGAGAAGAAUAGUAGGGAAUCAAAAAACAAAGAGUUUUUAGAAGCAAAGAGAAACAAAAAAAGAAGGUAUAGGGAUUUACCGAAUAGAAUAGCACGAACCAUUGUAAUCCUUUUGAAACAGCGAAAUAAAAAGCGAAUCUCGUUUUUCAAAGGUAAUCGAAUCGUUUUUUUUAAUUUUAUCUGGUCAUUUACUAACAUGCACACACGCAGAUCUAAAAAAAUAGAAACUAAAAACAGAGGGAGAAGGUUGAUACCUGAGAAUUGGCAAAGAAAAUGGAGGGUUUUUGAAACCCUAACCACCGUAUACAGUGGCUCUGGUGGCGGCUCAUUAAGCGCGUGGAGACCACGCACGCCAGACCCUGGGACGAGCCAGGACGGCCAUGAGGCCGGAGCUCCGAGGGUUGGAGCCCUUUUUUCAGAGGUUUUUUUUAUUUUUUUAAAAA
This 883-nucleotide long non-coding RNA is filed under the name Gossypium barbadense (sea-island cotton). RNAcentral describes it as "long non-coding RNA (GBAR_LNC006976)". The record is from RNAcentral. Lineage: Eukaryota; Viridiplantae; Streptophyta; Magnoliopsida; Malvales; Malvaceae.